GAUGAAGAAACGUAGUGAAAUGCGAUAAGUAAUGUGAAUUGCAGAAUUCAGUGAAUCAUCGAAUCUUUGAACGCACAUUGCGCCCGCCAGUAUUCUGGCGGGCAUGCCUGUCUGAGCGUCAUUUCAACCCUCAUGCCCCUAGGGCGUGGUGUUGGGGAUCGGCCAAAGCCCGCGAGGGACGGCCGGCCCCUAAAUCUAGUGGCGGACCCGUCGUGGCCUCCUCUGCGAAGUAGUGAUAUUCCGCAUCGGAGAGCGACGAGCCCCUGCCGUUAAACCCCCAACUUUCCAAGGUUGACCUCAGAUCAGGUAGGAAUACCCGCUGAACUUAAGCAUAUCAAUAAGCGGAGGA
This 349-nucleotide unclassified non-coding RNA is filed under the name soil metagenome. RNAcentral's name for it is "partial contains 5.8S ribosomal RNA, internal transcribed spacer 2, and large subunit ribosomal RNA". The stretch from base 1 to 121 matches the Rfam family "5.8S ribosomal RNA", at positions 35 to 154 of the family's 154-position model. The record is from RNAcentral.